CAUUGAGACGAUAUUACUAGGAAAUUUUAUAAAACCAGUUACAAUAAAAUAUAUAACAAGUAUUUUUGAGGCAGUUAUUGGUACUUGUGCUUACUUUUUAUUUAAUACUUAUUUUGAUAAAAUGAGGUAACUGUAAUCUUUUGAUCUAAAAAAACUAGCAACUUUGUAGAAAUACUUUGAGUGCAACUGCAAGUCUAGAUAAAUGAUACUUAAAAUGAACCUGCCCAGUGUUUUGCUGUCGGAAGAGACGUGCUUUCUCCAAGGCUGAUUCCCUGGUCUCUUCCUCUCAGCAGCGCCCUAGGACCUGCGCGGCCGGUGUUCACACUCAGAAGCCUGUGCUUUCUGGGGCACCCUCACCUCCCAGCUGGACUAGAGGGAGUGCCGUGUGUUCUCAAGAGAAUGUACAAUUACAACCCCUAAACCACAUGAGAGCCUGUGUGUGUUUUUUAACAGGUGUUUCAACUCUGAGACAUCUUAAAAAUAUAACCAACCCAAUUCCCCAAAGUCUGAAAGGCACCUACUGACACAGAAAACUGAAGUUUUCAUCAUCACAGUGUUGAGUGUUUCAGCAUUAAUAGUGAACAGUCUUUUGACCUGUGAAAAUAGCUGUCCCAUUUCAUAUGGAAGAAAACCAAACCAGUGAGCCCCUCAGGCUGAAUUCUACACCCAGAUGUUAUGCUCCUCCCUCAGGCUGAAUUCUAAACCGGAUAUUAUGCUCCUCACAAUCUCUCUUCACACUUGAGUUCAUCCUUUAUCCCAAUUUUGUUAACAGAGUUCAGAAGGUUCCUGAAUAUUCAGAAACACCACUUAUGAAACUAGAAUCUAACCGCAAUUAUAGUUUCCAGCAUUAACGUCUAGCAGCUAAGUGCUACGCAUUCUGAAAGAGCUAGACAAUAUUCACUGCCUUGAGCACAGAACAGGGACUGCUGCCCUAAUACUUCUCCUGCUACUGUUUCACUAUUAAGAAGGUUUGAAUAUGUUAGAAAUCACAUAAAUUCCAAAUUUAAACAGAAUGCUGGGAGUGAACCUCAGUCACACAUAACAAACACAAUCUGGAAGGUGCCCACCCUGAGAGGCCAGCUCCAGCCCAUCUGCUCGUGUGCAGCACAUACAGCGUAUAGACUGGGCUCAGAAGAGCAGUCUAGGGAAUGUGGGUGAUCUUCAAACUGAACAUUCUGACCAAACUAAAAUUAUUAAAAUUAUGGCCAAUACCUUUGAAACGUCCAGACCGCAAAUGCUUAUAUGGACCUGUGCCUACCGACAAAGCGGGGAUUCAGGAUCUCAGGACACAGUUCAAAGCAGAAAUCUAAGUAACCGGGUGCGGCCAAAACCAGAAAAGGCACGACGGUUCUCCUCGUGAGCAGCUGCUGCAAAGGUUCAGUCACUCCACAAUUCAACACUUGUGCUGAGGCACGGAAAAAUGGCCAGAUGGGAGUUGUAUUGUGUGACUUGGAAAUAAAGCUCUACAUGUCAUAUUCGAAGUACAAGUUCAGAAUUGUAUUAGUAAAAAUGCUUCAGCAUUUAUGGUAAGAGAAACAAGGCCACAGGCCAGGAGAAUGGACGGAUGACCAGGAGAAAAAAUGCUGGUCUUUUACUCUUUGUUAGCAAUCGUAAAUGUUUACUAAUGUGAGGGGGUGCUCAUCUGCAAAUAUAAAGAAAGGAUUUACCUCCUUUAUGGGUUAGCUCUUUGAGGGCCAGCAGGGAGAAAAAGCACUUAUGUAAAUAAUUCUGGAUGAGAAACAAACCUCCUUUACCAAGCACAGGAAUGAGGCAGAAAGUCACCGGAGUGCAAUCUUUCAGCGAGCGGGGAAGAGCCAGUAAUAAAGCACACAGAGAGUUAACAUCACAGUACAGUAAAAUGCCACAAAACCCAGAAGCUGCAGAGAGAGACAGACAAAACUGGAUUCUUCUGAGUGUGCCCCAAGAGAAAGGAGCGUUUCAACAGUUCUUUUAACGCUGAGGUUUAGCUGAAGGAUGUCGGAAGGGGAACAAAGAUUGUCCUGUCCAAAGUGUAAGCAGGAAAGGAAAACAGAAAAACAAAGUCAGUGGAUCAGAAAUGCAGAUUUGAGUAUAGAAUUCAUAUGAUCAUCUCAGUCAUAUUCACAUAUACACAUCCUGUAACAUUUUUACAUUGAGGAACAAAAAUAAAACGCUGAAAACCCAAACUACAAAGAAUCUUCUCCAUGCUGAGCCUGAUCUUACUACUAAAUAGCAGAAUAAAAUUCGUUUGUUGGUGACUGGUCUGAACAUUAAGAAUACAAUACACAGGCCGGGCGCGGUGUCUAUUUUAACCAAGUCCAGCUCGAGAAUGUGUUCAAAAUGAAGGCAGAGCUGUUAAGGGCCUCAGAGAUCAUCCAAACCCUCCAUUUUACAGAUUGCAAAAUUCAUUAAAUAAAUACAAGAAUGGACUUGACAACAGGGAGACAGACAUCCUUUAACACAUAACAUAACGACUCUGGGACAAAAGAUACUGGACUCAGAUACAAGUUUUUAAUCACCCAUUACAGUUUUUUUGAAUGUAGCAUAUUGAAUAGAAGCAUAAAAAUAAAGCAAAUACCCACAUGCCCAAUGUCAUCAGAGGUUUUUAAUAACUGCCUUGUUCUUCAGUAUUUCACUCAUACUUUAACUUGUACAACACUUUAAAAGUUACACAGAGAAGGGAAAUUAUUUGUCUUUAUCUAUCUUACCUGGGUAUAGAAUCUGACAAAAAUAUUUGUAAUAUUGUUUUCUGUUUUACAUUUUCAAAAGUGGUCAUUAUUACAUUCCCAAUGUUCAAGUCACACAGAGCAAAGUGGGGAUGUUUAAGUAAAGGCCAGAAUGACCUGGAGACCAGGAGAAAAAGGAAGACGAGGAGGUAGAAGUUUCUUCUCUUCCUCUGGCAGAGGGACCUCAGAAGGCUAGUUUGAACCUACGAGUUUGUGCGUUUAUUCAUUUUCUUUCACUUUGUUCUAGACAGAUGACUAAUUUUUCAGCAGAAGUAGCAGCUUGCUAGGAAGCCGUGUAAAACUGGCAGUGGUUGUGGUGGGGACGUGGGUGGGAGGUGGAAGGGGAGAAGGAAGGGGCAGCCUAUGGGAACGUCCAUUUCCUCUUUCUGGUGACGGAGAAGGAGGGAGGAUGCAUCAAAACCUCAGCCUAACCACUCUGGAAAAAGACCCAGUCUUUUAAAACUGUAUUUUUUUUUUCUUCGUACUUGCCUUCCAACAGCACAGCUCUGGUAGGAACAGGGGCAGGCUGGCCCAUAACAAACAUGGUCAACCACUGCAUGCAAAUACCAACUUAAAUGUGUAUUUUAAGGCACACUGUUUUGUACUUUGUUGGCUGAUGGUGGGAACAUCCUGAAAUAAUUCCAAGGUACGGACUUUAAAUCUCAGAGACCCUCAGAGGAUGCUUCCGAAAGCCCCGCGGACAGGCUUAGACCUUUCAACAGGUUUUGACAUCUGGUAAGUCAACAUGACUUGCUUGAGUGGGGCCAUUUUCAGCACUCUCCUGUCUAUUUUGCAUUUCCCAUUCUCUGCACCAACCCAUGCCAUACUCUCUUUGUUUAAAGACACUGUGGCAGGGAACUAGAGCAGACACUGGAUGUUUGUGUAGCAAGAACCUCUUUAGGAAGCAGAAGGGAAGAACUGGAGGCUAAUGUGCACUAUUAGAAUAAACUUGUUUAAAAGAAUGUAUGUUAUUUCUUCAGAAACCAUAUUCAGUGCUCUCAAAAUAUUUAAAAAGGUCUGUUCUAAAAGAUGACCCUUUAUAAAACAACAUAAUAUAAAAACGAAAAUUUUGCUUUCAAUUUGUCCAUAGGAAUCAAAAAGGUGUUUGCUAACUACCACUUUAUGUAAAUUUCCAUUCUUGUAUAAUUCAGUUAAAAAAAAAACAGCAAAAGAAAAAAGUAAAAAAUAAAUAAUAGAAUGAUGAUCUACUUUCAUAAGAGAAAAACAAUCCUGGGAAUCCUGCUGGCUGACACAGAUGAUCUGUGGAGCUGGGCGCUCUCUCUUUCACUUUGUAACAUGUGAUGCUGUGGCCUAGUCAACUCCUGGCUAGUUAGAAAGAGGUGCGGUGAACUGGGUAAAGAGAAUCACUGUCAUGGGUGCGGUGAGUUGGGUAAAGAGAAUCACUGCCAUGGGUGCGGUGAGUUGGGUAAAGAGAAUCACUGCCAUGGGUGCGGUGAGUUGGGUAAAGAGAAUCACUGCCAUGGGUGCGGUGAGUUGGGUAAAGAGAAUCACUGCCAUGGGUGCGGUGAACUGGGUAAAGAGAAUCACUGCCAUGGGUGCGGUGAGUUGGGUAAAGAGAAUCACUGCCAUGGGUGCGGUGAGUUGGGUAAAGAGAAUCACUGCCAUGGGUGCGGUGAACUGGGUAAAGAGAAUCACUGCCAUGGGUGCGGUGAGUUGGGUAAAGAGAAUCACUGCCAUGGGUGCGGUGAGUUGGGUAAAGAGAAUCACUGCCAUGGGUGCGGUGAACUGGGUAAAGAGAAUCACUGCCAUGGGUGCGGUGAGUUGGGUAAAGAGAAUCACUGCCAUGGGUGCGGUGAGUUGGGUAAAGAGAAUCACUGCCAUGGGUGCGGUGAGUUGGGUAAAGAGAAUCACUGCCAUGGGUGCGGUGAGUUGGGUAAAGAGAAUCACUGCCAUGGGUGCGGUGAGUUGGGUAAAGAGAAUCACUGCCAUGGGUGCGGUGAGUUGGGUAAAGAGAAUCACUGCCAUGGGUGCGGUGAGUUGGGUAAAGAGAAUCACUGCCAUGGGUGCGGUGAGUUGGGUAAAGAGAAUCACUGUCAUGGGUGCGGUGAGUUGGGUAAAGAGAAUCACUGCCAUGGGUGCGGUGAGUUGGGUAAAGAGAAUCACUGUCAUGGAAGCUACAGGAACAGGAACCAAACUCUGAGAGCAAUGGUGGAGCUGUUGAUGAGCCCCAGGGCCACCCCUGAGUUACUGAUACCUAAUUAGAAGGUGAUAGAGAAGAAUCAUGUUUUCCUCCUUGCAGGCUAUAGACAAAAUAUGUUAACAAGACUUGUAAUGGUCGUGGUUAAUGAAAAAGUAUCACAUGGCACCAAGUCAUUUA
This 5043-nucleotide long non-coding RNA is filed under the name Homo sapiens (human). RNAcentral describes it as "non-protein coding lnc-IQCG-1:1". Lineage: Eukaryota; Metazoa; Chordata; Mammalia; Primates; Hominidae. The record is from RNAcentral.